Molecule: ribosomal RNA, 564 nt
Filed under: Triticum aestivum (bread wheat)
Lineage: Eukaryota; Viridiplantae; Streptophyta; Magnoliopsida; Poales; Poaceae
Description: partial small subunit ribosomal RNA
Source: RNAcentral
AUGUCCCGCACCACCGGCGGCUUCGCCUCCGGCCGACCCCUGCUGGUCCUUGCUGCGGUCCCCUGGUCGGCUAGAGAAAAGCAGGAGAAGAAAAAUCAAAGGCCGGGUAUCCAGUCGGCUGGUCAAAAGAAAAAAGAAAAAUGGGCUGGGUCCGGCUGCUGGCGUGAAGUCGGACCAAGAAGCAAAAAAAAAGAAGAAACAAGAGAGAGAGGCCGGCUGGGAGAAAAAGAAAAAGGGCCGACUGCCCGCUGUAGCCGGCUGCUCAUGCAAAGGAAAAGAGGUCUGACUGACCAAGUCAACAGCCGGCUGACGAGAAAAAAGAGAGAAAAGAAAUAUGCGUCCGGCUGCCCGCAGCUGGACAAAGAGAAGGAGGAAGAAGACAAAGUGGUUGCCGGGAGAUCCGGCCCGACUGCUCAGCAGUCGGCCCAGAUCUCGGGGGCUACACCCAGCGGGUGCGCUGACGCGCCCCCGCGAGGAAGAAGACAAAGUAGUUGCCGAGAGAUCCGGCUCGACUGCUCAGCAGUCGGCCUAGAUCUCAGGGGCUACACCCGGCGGGUGCGCUGA